UACGUAGGUGGCAAGCGUUAUCCGGAAUACUGGGCGUAAAGCGCACGCAGGCGGUCUGUUAAGUUUGACGUGAAAGCUCCCGGCUUAACUGGGAGAGGUCGUUGAAGACUGGCAGACUUGAGGCGAUGAGAGGGGUGUAGAAUUCCCGGUGUAGUGGUGGAAUGCGUAGAUAUCGGGGGGAAUACCAGUGGCGAAAGCGGCACCCUAGCGUUAGCCUGACGCUCAUGUGCGAAAGCGUGGGGAGCGAACGGG
Molecule: ribosomal RNA, 252 nt
Filed under: uncultured bacterium
Lineage: Bacteria
Description: partial 16S ribosomal RNA
Rfam family: Bacterial small subunit ribosomal RNA
Source: RNAcentral